This 255-nucleotide long non-coding RNA is filed under the name Homo sapiens (human). RNAcentral describes it as "HSALNT0382423". The record is from RNAcentral. Lineage: Eukaryota; Metazoa; Chordata; Mammalia; Primates; Hominidae.
AUGGAGGCGCCUCCCCAGGAUGGACAUGGCACCCACAUUGGCACCCUCUGGUCUUGUCCCCACAGGACACCCCUCUGUCAUGGUGAUCAAGACGGCUAGGGGGCAGGGAAGGCGAGAAGAGGGAGGAGACACUGGUGUGACUCAUAGCAAAGUAAGAGCUUCUUCCCUCCUCUCUGCACCCCAAAUACGGAGCACCGGCUGCGUUCCAGGCACUGUGCUAGACACUUCACAUGCGGUGAACCUGUGAGGCAGAUC